UUAGCAUCUCCUCGCCGCCCACUGCGAACAAACAGUCCUCUGUGUGCACCCUGGGCAGGCCUCACUGCAGCCCUGCAGGAAGCAGGAUGCUGACCCGGAGUCGGCGCCCCCUCGCUCCCUAGGGUGGACCCAGCCACGUAUGAGGAAACCGAGGCGCAGAGAGGCAAAGGGAUGUGUCGAAAGCCACACAGCUGGAGCAAGUGGUGGAACUGGCCUGGGAACAUGGCCUUCUCAGAGGAGUGCGGUGGCUUCUGGAGGGGCCGGCCUAUCUCAGUCUGCCAGCAGUGACCAGACAAUCUGCUCUCAUCAUCUGGGAGCUGGGUGAAGACCCCUCCCCACCCUCACCUCCUGCAAAUAUUGUGUGUUGGGGGUGGGGGGGACACAAAGAAGUAGAAGUGACUGCUGAGUGAGGGAGCUGGAGAGAGUACUGGGGAGGGGUCCCCCGCUGCCUUGGCCUUGGGCCCCGCAGAUGCAUGGAAGGGACCAGCAGUUCCUGGAACACGAGCCCAUCGCCGGGGUGCCCAGUGCCAGCUGUUGCCAUCUGCUUGUGGCAAAACGAGAAAAAUAGGACAAUACAGUGAAGUUUUCCUAAAGCUAGACCUACUCGAUCUGAAGUACGGCCCUUUCCCUGGAGCUGUGUAUUUUCAGGGUCUGUGCAUGUGUGUGUUUAAAAAGGACCUUUUCUUUGACAUUUUCUUUAAUGUCCUUAACCGAGCAAAAUAAAAGACUAGUGACCAUGUCAGAUCCUAAAUCGGCUUUUUGGAAAUGUUAGUGACUAAGGAAUCCGAAUGCCUGGGAAUCACGGAGCUGGCCCUGAUUCGGUGAGCCCUGGCACGGAGGACUUGUUUUUGAAUUCAGGGAUGAUCUCUGAACAGCUGGAAAAACCCCGGGGGAGGAGAGGUUGGGGUUCCUGCCUGGACUCAGCCCCUCAGCCCUGGAUCCCCAGGAAACCUGAGCAGAGGGAACAUUAGAGUCACUGCACAGGGAAUUCUGAGAAAGGCCUCGGGCUGAUUCUCCGUGCUGCACCCCCUCAGCCUCUUCUCUGACCCCCAGCCAGAGGGAAUGUACCCUCCAACCUCAGCCCUGCCUCCCCCAGCCCCCCAAGGCUGGAUCCAAAAUAGCCCAGGCCCCGGAGGAGACGUCAUGGGUCAGACUGGCUGCCUGCCCUCAGAGAGGGCAUGUCGGUAAUGCCCAAGGCCAAAUAUAGAGGGACACCAGACACCGCUGGGCCACCCAGGGCCUGGGGAGCCCGGCUGGCAUCUCAGGGCCUCCCCCACCCUCAUCCCUUCCCAGCCCUGCACCCCCAACCCGGGCUCCGGAGGCCAGCGCCUCCUGGCCAGGCCCACCCAGCCAGGACAUGUCCCAGCAAGCCCAGAGCCGAGCUGGAGGCUGGCCCGACGGGGUGCUGGGCCUGGGCUGGGCCUGGGCGUGGGGACACCCCUCCAUCUGGGGGUCUCAAAGCACUUUUAUAAGCGUCACUUCCCACAGGCUGCUGCCGAGAUCAGGAGGCCAAGAGGACCUGGUGUCUCCGGGGGGCCGGCUCCUGCCUCUGUUCCUCCCAGCUCGGGAAGGAGACCAGGCCGUAAACCUGCGGCGUGGGAGGCUUGGGAGGCGGGGGGCGGGCAGGCGGCCAGGUCUAACCCGAGUGAACUCCCGGUGGAAUCGAACUGCAAAUAAUGAGUCCUGAUUGCCGAGGUGGCCUCCACCCGCCACUCCCGGGAAUUAAAAGUCAAAGGGCAGAGCUGCUGACGCAAAUGUCAAGGGAGACACGCGGUGUGGAACAGCUGGGAUCCUGCUCCCCGGCCUGCCGCCCAAGGUCGCCGCCCCCAGCGCCCUGGAUCCGGCGUCCCCCAGGCUGGGCCCCGAGAGGCCCCAGUUCCCCAGGCGCAGCAGGGAAGGGGGCUCGGCUUCCUCUCCCUCCUCCUGGUUCUAAGGUCAACAGAACUCGAUUGGAGGAGGUUCAUCAGAAAUCCCCGUGCAACGGCGUUGCCGGACGCCUGCGGACGCGGAGAGGCAGCAGCUCGAGUCCUCUGGGCCUUCCCCGCCUCCCCCGCCAACAAGGGGGAGGAAACUUCUGCCGACGGGGGCGCGUGGCUCGCUAACACCUGCUGUGUCCCCUAGGUCGUCCCAGGGCCGGCACACCGUGGGCAGCUGCACCGUGGUCUGUGCACCAGUGGUGACCCCCAGCGGUCAGUGUGGGACUUGACCUUGGACCCAGCACUGAAGCCUCCGCCAGGCCAGGGGCUGGGAAACCCCGGGGGCGCCAGGUUUGGAGAUUUGAUCUUGGAAGGGAGGUGUUGGCGUUCGGAGGUGUUGGCGUUCGGAGGUGUUUUUCUCUGUGCUGAAUUUUCCUAAUCGCCCUGUGGCUGGAUCUCAGCCUGUGUCCCACUGUGAGCCAGUCAGCCUCAACAUGUCUAAGAGGCGCAUCAUCACUGAGCCCCUACCGGCUCUUACUCCUGACUUCCCUAUUUCUAUUAAUAGCACCACUACCCUCCCAGUCCCUCAGGCUCCAAACCUCCGUGUCAUUGUCCACAUCUCCCCACACUGGGCUGGCUGACCGGUCCUGCCCCUCCUCACCGUGCAGGUCAUUCUUCCACCCCUCCCGCGAUACUCAUGGCCACUGCCCCAGUCAAUGGACCUCUCUCUCACCUGAGCUACUGUCAUCCUCGACAAUGCCACUGGGUCAGACCUGGCUAUGUGACCGGUCCCUUCCACUUACUGGCUGUGUGACCUUGGGCAAGCUACUUAACUUCUCUGAGCUCAACUUCCUCAGCUGUAAAAUGAGGAUAAUAAUUACAGUCCCUACCUCAUAGAGCACUGCAUGAAUUGUGACGUAUGUGAAGACCCUGACACAUAGGAAAUGCUCAGUGACUGUGAAUUAUUAGAGAUCAUCCAUCCAAUCCAACUCUUCCAUUUUACAAACAAGGAAACUGAGGCUCAGAGAGCUGGAAGGAGAGCUAACGUCUGGCAUGGUGUCUUUACAACUUGCUACAGGGGUCCAGCCGGGUGGCACAGUGGUUAAGUUCACACGUUCUGCUUCGGUGGCCUGGGGUUUGCCGGUUCGGAUCCUGGGUGUGGGCCUACACACCAUACUGUGGUAGGCAUCCCACAUAUAAAGUAGAGGAAGAUGGGCAUGGAUGUUAGCUCAGGGCCAGUCUUCCUCAGCAAAAUGAGGCGGAUUGGUGGCAGAUGUUAGCCAGGGCUAAUCUUCCUCAAAAAUAGAAUAAAAUAAAAAUAAAACUUGCUACAGAGCAGGGGGAGUGGAAGUUCCCGGAGUCUUGAAGCUCCUCCACCACUGCCCACAUCAUCGCGAUCUGGAACCCAGAUCCAAAGGCCCCCUGCUGAGUUCACGGGGCACACCCUCCUGCCUUCAGGGGCAGGCAUGCUUGGGUGAGUGCUGAGGUCGCAAAUACCUUCUGGGAUGAGACAACUACAGGUGACGUCCAGCGGCUGUGAGUCAGGGAGACCCAUCUGCAAGGUGACGAGUGAGGCUGGGCACUCGGGCCGCAGGGGUGCUGGGCAUGCAGGGGUCGUGCCAGACGUCAGACAUCCAAAUAGGGUGGGCACCUCCUCCCGCAACAACCCCGCCCUCACACUCCUCCCCCAGCUCCCACUCACCCCCUCCAGUGCCCAGGCCUUCGCGUGGGGGUCCGUGGGGGCAGGGCAGGCUGCCUCCCGUCCAGAUAGUCCAGGCGGACGUUCUGAACAGUCCCUCGUGAAUGAGCACCUGGGGGCCAUACGCUCUUUGAAACUGAAGGUGGGAGCCCUGUUCUGGGGACAGGUUCUCAAAGCGGACUUCUCUCCACAAAGAGAAGAUGAUCAAGAGCAGCAAGAGCAGAUGAUCCAGGUUCAAACGUGGGCCUGUCCUAGAGUCCUAGGACACCUCCUGUCUAAGCCAGAGGUUCUCAAACAGGUUUUGCUCCUGGGGACACCUGGCAAUGCCUGGAGACAUGUUUGGUUGUUAUACUGGGAGGGAGGGUGUGCAUGACCUACUGGCAUCUAGUGGGGAGAGGCCAAGGGUGUUGCUAAAUAUCCUACAAUGCACACAGCACAGACACACAACGAAGAACAUUCCAGCCCCCGUGUCAGUAGUACAGCGGCCUCGAGGAGGAAGGGAGGCCGUGCCUGUGAAGAACCCGGGACUGGGCCUGGCUCAUGCUCCGUGUUGGCAAGGGACCUUUCUUUUCUAAGGCCUUCUCUCAGCCUGGACACCCAAGCCGGUGGGCAGAGGUGGAGUGGGCAUAUACUCACAUGAGAAUUCUGAGAAAUGAUCUUGGUGUUUCUGCCACACCCAGCCUGGGGCAGAGUUUCUAGAAGAGUCUGGUGCUCACUCAUGAACCCUUUCAACAAGGACAAAGCAGGCCCUGGAAGGAGCGGCCCGCCCUCGGGCUGCUCACCCUGCCACCUCCAGCAGGCCUCCCCGUGACCCAUCCCCCACCCCUCUCACUUGCAUUUGUGAGGGAGAGAGGGGAGAGGAUGGGGCAGAAGCCCUCCUCUGAGCUCUCCUCAGACCCGCCGAGGCCGGGCAGGCAGGAGGACGUGCUAGCGGCAGCCCUGCACAGAGGCAGGGGACGGCUCCAGGGCACCUUCGAAGGUGUGUGAAGCUGAGUCAAGGAGCUGGCAAGCCCUCCUGCCACUCACCUCAGCGGGCAGCUGGUUCUCCUUCAGCCUCAGCAGCCGUGGGGUCAAGUGUCUGCUCUACAGAAGCUGGUCCCAGAUAAGCCACCGCCUUCUUCCCUGGGAUGGGGUGGUGUAGCCCCAUCAGAACCCCCACACCCUGGCCCCUGAGCUCCGCUUUGCUGGUUUACCCAACUCAAGUAAAAUGGAUUAUCGGAUUACGGUCGGAGUGGGUGGAAGGGUCAGGUCGAUCAACAGAGAUGGGACUCUUAGACCCCUUUCUGACACUGCUCAUUUGUGGGGUCUGGGGGAUUGGGGCAUUGCAAUCACACCCUCUCCCCUCGGGUCUCAAUUUCAGGCACGUGUUUAAUGGGGCACACCACCUUCCAAACCUUCGGUGUGAGGCUGUGUGGGGGUGGGGCUUCUGUCUGCGUCUGGAAGCCCAGCUGACUUCACGACAAGCCCAGACACGCAGCUGUUUCUGAAACAGAAGCCGCAGCGGUGGGGGAAGCGCCAAGCGCCGAGGCUGGGGGCAGAGAGGAGACCCCCGGACACCAGACUGAUGUGUACAGUUAACAGGGCCUAACCAAAGGGUCUGCACUGCGUCUCCAGGUGGGAGCUGCCUCCUGCCAUGGGAGUCUUCUCUGGGGAAACAUUUUUGUCUUGAUUGGAAAUUUCUUCCUGAUGUGUGACAUGUGACCUCCACCUCUUCUUCUAGAGCUUGGCUCUGCUGCCAGGCUGAGGCUGCCCACCUCCCCCGAAGUCCCCUCCCCUCCAAUACUCUGUUCCUUCCCAGGGAUGCUCAGAGGCUGCAGGGCAUCUUGCCUUAUGCUGGUCCUCCCCUGCAGGGACGCCAAAGCUGGGGGAGGGGCACCUGGGCCUGUCUGGCUUCCUGCCCAAGGUAUGAUCCUGGUGUGAAAGUUCUGGGCCCAGGCCCCUAAGGAGGGUUCCUCCCAAGCACCCUCAUCCCUCUGGUCCCUCCAGCUUUCUCCUCAUCUCCCGAUGCCACAAAUCUUCUGAUGCCCUCCCUUCCCCACCACGCUUCUCCCCUAGGCCCUGCCCUUCCUCAGCCAGCUUUACCCUGGGCAAUCCCAGAUGGGGGCAUCUGGCCCGUGGCUUUGCACAGGAGGCGGGAG
This 5753-nucleotide long non-coding RNA is filed under the name Equus caballus (horse). Its description in RNAcentral is "lncRNA (ENSECAG00000051079.1)". The record is from RNAcentral. Lineage: Eukaryota; Metazoa; Chordata; Mammalia; Perissodactyla; Equidae.